Molecule: non-coding RNA, 1438 nt
Organism: Lonchura striata (white-rumped munia)
Lineage: Eukaryota; Metazoa; Chordata; Aves; Passeriformes; Estrildidae
Source: RefSeq, a predicted model, not a curated record
UCUGUCUCCAUCCACUGACUGGUUAAAUUGCCCACAAGCAAAAGAGAAUUGUCUACAUAAAGAAAACUAGAAAACUGCUGUUCCUGGGAGUCAGGGAGUGGUAAGAAGUUGGGCAGAGGGGACAUAUCCAUUAUGUAAGGGACUGCUGAGGUAUUGUGAUGACAUGUUGGGCAAGGUGAGUGUUACAGCAGAUAUCACCCUGCCUUGAUGGGGCUGCUGUUCAAGCAGAACUUUAGGAAACUGGGGGUUCAGAUCUAGACAGAAAUGUGUUUUCUUGCUUUUUGGCUGCAUUCUGUUUCCACAGUUCUUUCUCUCUAUCCACCAGUGAAGAAUGAAAUUCAAGAGAGGAGGGAAUUCCUGGAAGAGAUGGAAGCUCUAGGACAGGGCAAGAAGUAUCAAGGGAUCAUCCUCACUGAAAUCUCACAGAAAUUGAAUGAGAUGAAGAGCAUUGACAAGAAGAGAAGUGAGGAAAUGAGAAAUAUCAUGACAAAAGCCUUCCCUGUUGGGAACAAAUCCAAUCUCCAAGACUAGGCCAAGGGCAAAACACAGGUGCAAUUUGUUCCCACCUAUUCUUCCCAGACUCUGGGAAUCAGAGGCUAGUCUGUGUCUGUUUCCAAAGAGGGGGCAGCACAAUCUGUUGCCAGAAACUAGAAGGCAGGACCAAUUUGUACAUACACAGUGACAGAAGUUGUAAAAUCCUUCCCACACACUGGAUCCCUUCUUGCUCCAUAAUAUUAAAGACAUGAAAACACACAGCAACAGCUCCCAAAACAUGACAAAGCAGAGCCUUCUUUUUCCUCUGCAGUGCCUCAGCAAUCCAUCCAUAGAAAUGUCAUUCCUUCCCGUCUCCCCAGAAGUGGAGUUUUCUCGUGACAGCGUGAUGGUAACACACACUGACACCAUACCUGUAACUGGCUUGCUCCUGGCCCUGUGAUGCCAGGAAUGUCUCUGGAGGAAGUGCAGCUGUACAGCCUUGUGUACUCACAAGCCCUUGGCAUUGCUGCAGGUCACUGUGACUGUGACCUGCGGCAUCAGCAAACCUCUGGUGGCAGCCCACUGGGCAGGAACUCAGGAACACAGCUGUGCCAAGCAGGGACAGGGAAUUUCACCCCAGUGGCUGCUGCUCUUUGCUGUGGACUUGCUGCGAUUUUUUGGUUCCUGAAAGCAUGGUAUGCAGAAUAGCCACUCUAUUCCCACAGAGACUGGAAAUGGCUGUUUGCUCAACCAUAAAUACUCACACCUCUGUCCUCCAGCAGGCUGAAGCAUUAUGUCCCACUUUUCCUGUGGAAAUCCCAGCAUAACGUCCAGUUUCCAAUUUCCUUAAGAUCUCAUCCUCUGCUUCUUAGCAAUACUCAGCCACUUUCCAAAGCCAGGCAGCAUGCCCUGGCCCUGGGACAGCACGAGUGCACAAAAGAAUGAGAAACCUAAUCCACAAUCA